Molecule: ribosomal RNA, 172 nt
Filed under: Crinia signifera
Lineage: Eukaryota; Metazoa; Chordata; Amphibia; Anura; Myobatrachidae
Description: partial 16S ribosomal RNA
Source: RNAcentral
GCCUAAAUUUUAGCCCUAAUUUUUCUUAUGAAACCCCCACACUAAACCACCGCCACUAAAACAUUCUAACAAUCUAGUACAGGCGAUCGAAAAACUUCUAAGAGCUAUAAAUAGUACUGCAAAGGAACAAUGAAAUAGAAAUGGAAGAACCUUAAGCCUUACACAGUAGAGA